UAUUAGGUUGGUGCAAAAGUAAUUGCAGUCAUUGCCAUUACUUUCAGUGGCAAAAACUGCAAUCACUUUUGCACCAACCGAAUA
This is a microRNA precursor of Cercocebus atys (sooty mangabey), 84 nucleotides long. NCBI's taxonomy places the organism in Eukaryota, Metazoa, Chordata, Mammalia, Primates, Cercopithecidae. The record is from Ensembl.